GAUUAAGUUAUUAAGGGCGCACGGUGGAUGCCUUGGCACUAGAAGCCGAUGAAGGACGUUACUAACGACGAUAUGCUUUGGGGAGCUGUAAGUAAGCUUUGAUCCAGAGAUUUCCGAAUGGGGAAACCCAGCAUGAGUUAUGUCAUGUUAUCGAUAUGUGAAUACAUAGCAUAUCAGAAGGCACACCCGGAGAACUGAAACAUCUUAGUACCCGGAGGAAGAGAAAGAAAAUUCGAUUCCCUUAGUAGCGGCGAGCGAAACGGGAAGAGCCCAAACCAACAAGCUUGCUUGUUGGGGUUGUAGGACACUCUAUACGGAGUUACAAAGGACGACAUUAGACGAAUCAUCUGGAAAGAUGAAUCAAAGAAGGUAAUAAUCCUGUAGUCGAAAAUGUUGUCUCUCUUGAGUGGAUCCUGAGUACGACGGAGCACGUGAAAUUCUGUCGGAAUCUGGGAGGACCAUCUCCUAAGGCUAAAUACUCUCUAGUGACCGAUAGUGAACCAGUACCGUGAGGGAAAGGUGAAAAGCACCCCCGGAAGGGGAGUGAAAUAGAACCUGAAACCGUGUGCUUACAAGUAGUCAGAGCCCGUUAAUGGGUGAUGGCGUGCCUUUUGUAGAAUGAACCGGCGAGUUACGAUUUGAUGCAAGGUUAAGCAGUAAAUGUGGAGCCGUAGCGAAAGCGAGUCUGAAUAGGGCGUUUAGUAUUUGGUCGUAGACCCGAAACCAGGUGAUCUACCCUUGGUCAGGUUGAAGUUCAGGUAACACUGAAUGGAGGACCGAACCGACUUACGUUGAAAAGUGAGCGGAUGAACUGAGGGUAGCGGAGAAAUUCCAAUCGAACCUGGAGAUAGCUGGUUCUCUCCGAAAUAGCUUUAGGGCUAGCCUCAAGUGAUGAUUAUUGGAGGUAGAGCACUGUUUGGACGAGGGGCCCCCCUCUCGGGUUACCGAAUUCAGACAAACUCCGAAUGCCAAUUAAUUUAACUUGGGAGUCAGAACAUGGGUGAUAAGGUCCGUGUUCGAAAGGGAAACAGCCCAGACCACCAGCUAAGGUCCCAAAAUAUAUGUUAAGUGGAAAAGGAUGUGGCGUUGCCCAGACAACUAGGAUGUUGGCUUAGAAGCAGCCAUCAUUUAAAGAGUGCGUAAUAGCUCACUAGUCGAGUGACACUGCGCCGAAAAUGUACCGGGGCUAAACAUAUUACCGAAGCUGUGGAUUGUCCUUUGGACAAUGGUAGGAGAGCGUUCUAAGGGCAUUGAAGCAUGAUCGUAAGGACAUGUGGAGCGCUUAGAAGUGAGAAUGCCGGUGUGAGUAGCGAAAGACGGGUGAGAAUCCCGUCCACCGAUUGACUAAGGUUUCCAGAGGAAGGCUCGUCCGCUCUGGGUUAGUCGGGUCCUAAGCUGAGGCCGACAGGCGUAGGCGAUGGAUAACAGGUUGAUAUUCCUGUACCACCUAUAAUCGUUUUAAUCGAUGGGGGGGGACGCAGUAGGAUAGGCGAAGCGUGCGAUUGGAUUGCACGUCUAAGCAGUAAGGCUGAGUAUUAGGCAAAUCCGGUACUCGUUAAGGCUGAGCUGUGAUGGGGAGAAGACAUUGUGUCUUCGAGUCGUUGAUUUCACACUGCCGAGAAAAGCCUCUAGAUAGAAAAUAGGUGCCCGUACCGCAAACCGACACAGGUAGUCAAGAUGAGAAUUCUAAGGUGAGCGAGCGAACUCUCGUUAAGGAACUCGGCAAAAUGACCCCGUAACUUCGGGAGAAGGGGUGCUCUUUAGGGUUAACGCCCAGAAGAGCCGCAGUGAAUAGGCCCAAGCGACUGUUUAUCAAAAACACAGGUCUCUGCUAAACCGUAAGGUGAUGUAUAGGGCUGACGCCUGCCCGGUGCUGGAAGGUUAAGAGGAGUGGUUAGCUUCUGCGAAGCUACGAAUCGAAGCCCCAGUAAACGGCGGCCGUAACUAUAACGGUCCUAAGGUAGCGAAAUUCCUUGUCGGGUAAGUUCCGACCCGCACGAAAGGCGUAACGAUUUGGGCACUGUCUCAACGAGAGACUCGGUGAAAUCAUAGUACCUGUGAAGAUGCAGGUUACCCGCGACAGGACGGAAAGACCCCGUGGAGCUUUACUGUAGCCUGAUAUUGAAAUUCGGCACAGCUUGUACAGGAUAGGUAGGAGCCUUUGAAACGUGAGCGCUAGCUUACGUGGAGGCGCUGGUGGGAUACUACCCUAGCUGUGUUGGCUUUCUAACCCGCACCACUUAUCGUGGUGGGAGACAGUGUCAGGCGGUCAGUUUGACUGGGGCGGUCGCCUCCUAAAAGGUAACGGAGGCGCUCAAAGGUUCCCUCAGAAUGGUUGGAAAUCAUUCAUAGAGUGUAAAGGCAUAAGGGAGCUUGACUGCGAGACCUACAAGUCGAGCAGGGUCGAAAGACGGACUUAGUGAUCCGGUGGUUCCGCAUGGAAGGGCCAUCGCUCAACGGAUAAAAGCUACCCCGGGGAUAACAGGCUUAUCUCCCCCAAGAGUUCACAUCGACGGGGAGGUUUGGCACCUCGAUGUCGGCUCAUCGCAUCCUGGGGCUGUAGUCGGUCCCAAGGGUUGGGCUGUUCGCCCAUUAAAGCGGUACGCGAGCUGGGUUCAGAACGUCGUGAGACAGUUCGGUCCCUAUCCGUCGUGGGCGUAGGAAAUUUGAGAGGAGCUGUCCUUAGUACGAGAGGACCGGGAUGGACAUACCUCUGGUGUACCAGUUGUCGUGCCAACGGCAUAGCUGGGUAGCUAUGUGUGGACGGGAUAAGUGCUGAAAGCAUCUAAGCAUGAAGCCCCCCUCAAGAUGAGAUUUCCCAACUUCGGUUAUAAGAUCCCUCAAAGAUGAUGAGGUUAAUAGGUUCGAGGUGGAAGCAUGGUGACAUGUGGAGCUGACGAAUACUAAUCGAUCGAAGACUUAAUCAA
This 2927-nucleotide ribosomal RNA is filed under the name Staphylococcus aureus. RNAcentral describes it as "23S ribosomal RNA". It matches the Rfam family "Bacterial large subunit ribosomal RNA". The record is from RNAcentral. Lineage: Bacteria; Bacillati; Bacillota; Bacilli; Caryophanales; Staphylococcaceae.